AAGCCUAUGAGGAUUAGAUUUGAAUUGGAAUUACCGUCUGAACAAAUUUACGUUUGAUGUGAAUUCUGGCUGACUGAGGCUUUAC
Cajanus cajan (pigeon pea) is the source of this 85-nucleotide non-coding RNA. Lineage: Eukaryota; Viridiplantae; Streptophyta; Magnoliopsida; Fabales; Fabaceae. The record is from Rfam.